This 253-nucleotide ribosomal RNA is filed under the name uncultured bacterium. RNAcentral describes it as "partial 16S ribosomal RNA". It matches the Rfam family "Bacterial small subunit ribosomal RNA", at positions 524 to 776 of the family's 1533-position model. The record is from RNAcentral.
UACAGAGACUGCAAGCGUUAUUCGGAUUCACUGGGCGUAAAGGGUGCGCAGGCGGUUGGGUGAGUCAGAUGUGAAAUCCCGAGGCUUAACCUCGGAACUGCGUCUGAAACUACUCGACUAGAGUACUGGAGAGGGAAACGGAAUUCACGGUGUAGCAGUGAAAUGCGUAGAUAUCGUGAGGAACACCAGAGGCGAAGGCGGUUUCCUGGACAGUUACUGACGCUCAGGCACGAAAGCAUGGGGAGCAAAAGGG